UUAAGCGACUAAGCGUACACGGUGGAUGCCCUGGCAGUCAGAGGCGAUGAAGGACGUGCUAAUCUGCGAUAAGCGUCGGUAAGGUGAUAUGAACCGUUAUAACCGGCGAUUUCCGAAUGGGGAAACCCAGUGUGUUUCGACACACUAUCAUUAACUGAAUCCAUAGGUUAAUGAGGCGAACCGGGGGAACUGAAACAUCUAAGUACCCCGAGGAAAAGAAAUCAACCGAGAUUCCCCCAGUAGCGGCGAGCGAACGGGGAGCAGCCCAGAGCCUGAAUCAGUGUGUGUGUUAGUGGAAGCGUCUGGAAAGGCGCGCGAUACAGGGUGACAGCCCCGUACACAAAAAUGCACAUGCUGUGAGCUCGAUGAGUAGGGCGGGACACGUGGUAUCCUGUCUGAAUAUGGGGGGACCAUCCUCCAAGGCUAAAUACUCCUGACUGACCGAUAGUGAACCAGUACCGUGAGGGAAAGGCGAAAAGAACCCCGGCGAGGGGAGUGAAAAAGAACCUGAAACCGUGUACGUACAAGCAGUGGGAGCCUCUUUAUGGGGUGACUGCGUACCUUUUGUAUAAUGGGUCAGCGACUUAUAUUCUGUAGCAAGGUUAACCGAAUAGGGGAGCCGAAGGGAAACCGAGUCUUAACUGGGCGUUAAGUUGCAGGGUAUAGACCCGAAACCCGGUGAUCUAGCCAUGGGCAGGUUGAAGGUUGGGUAACACUAACUGGAGGACCGAACCGACUAAUGUUGAAAAAUUAGCGGAUGACUUGUGGCUGGGGGUGAAAGGCCAAUCAAACCGGGAGAUAGCUGGUUCUCCCCGAAAGCUAUUUAGGUAGCGCCUCGUGAAUUCAUCUCCGGGGGUAGAGCACUGUUUCGGCAAGGGGGUCAUCCCGACUUACCAACCCGAUGCAAACUGCGAAUACCGGAGAAUGUUAUCACGGGAGACACACGGCGGGUGCUAACGUCCGUCGUGAAGAGGGAAACAACCCAGACCGCCAGCUAAGGUCCCAAAGUCAUGGUUAAGUGGGAAACGAUGUGGGAAGGCCCAGACAGCCAGGAUGUUGGCUUAGAAGCAGCCAUCAUUUAAAGAAAGCGUAAUAGCUCACUGGUCGAGUCGGCCUGCGCGGAAGAUGUAACGGGGCUAAACCAUGCACCGAAGCUGCGGCAGCGACGCUUAUGCGUUGUUGGGUAGGGGAGCGUUCUGUAAGCCUGUGAAGGUGUGCUGUGAGGCAUGCUGGAGGUAUCAGAAGUGCGAAUGCUGACAUAAGUAACGAUAAAGCGGGUGAAAAGCCCGCUCGCCGGAAGACCAAGGGUUCCUGUCCAACGUUAAUCGGGGCAGGGUGAGUCGACCCCUAAGGCGAGGCCGAAAGGCGUAGUCGAUGGGAAACAGGUUAAUAUUCCUGUACUUGGUGUUACUGCGAAGGGGGGACGGAGAAGGCUAUGUUGGCCGGGCGACGGUUGUCCCGGUUUAAGCGUGUAGGCUGGUUUUCCAGGCAAAUCCGGAAAAUCAAGGCUGAGGCGUGAUGACGAGGCACUACGGUGCUGAAGCAACAAAUGCCCUGCUUCCAGGAAAAGCCUCUAAGCAUCAGGUAACAUCAAAUCGUACCCCAAACCGACACAGGUGGUCAGGUAGAGAAUACCAAGGCGCUUGAGAGAACUCGGGUGAAGGAACUAGGCAAAAUGGUGCCGUAACUUCGGGAGAAGGCACGCUGAUAUGUAGGUGAAGUCCCUCGCGGAUGGAGCUGAAAUCAGUCGAAGAUACCAGCUGGCUGCAACUGUUUAUUAAAAACACAGCACUGUGCAAACACGAAAGUGGACGUAUACGGUGUGACGCCUGCCCGGUGCCGGAAGGUUAAUUGAUGGGGUCAGCGCAAGCGAAGCUCUUGAUCGAAGCCCCGGUAAACGGCGGCCGUAACUAUAACGGUCCUAAGGUAGCGAAAUUCCUUGUCGGGUAAGUUCCGACCUGCACGAAUGGCGUAAUGAUGGCCAGGCUGUCUCCACCCGAGACUCAGUGAAAUUGAACUCGCUGUGAAGAUGCAGUGUACCCGCGGCAAGACGGAAAGACCCCGUGAACCUUUACUAUAGCUUGACACUGAACAUUGAGCCUUGAUGUGUAGGAUAGGUGGGAGGCUUUGAAGUGUGGACGCCAGUCUGCAUGGAGCCGACCUUGAAAUACCACCCUUUAAUGUUUGAUGUUCUAACGUUGACCCGUAAUCCGGGUUGCGGACAGUGUCUGGUGGGUAGUUUGACUGGGGCGGUCUCCUCCUAAAGAGUAACGGAGGAGCACGAAGGUUGGCUAAUCCUGGUCGGACAUCAGGAGGUUAGUGCAAUGGCAUAAGCCAGCUUGACUGCGAGCGUGACGGCGCGAGCAGGUGCGAAAGCAGGUCAUAGUGAUCCGGUGGUUCUGAAUGGAAGGGCCAUCGCUCAACGGAUAAAAGGUACUCCGGGGAUAACAGGCUGAUACCGCCCAAGAGUUCAUAUCGACGGCGGUGUUUGGCACCUCGAUGUCGGCUCAUCACAUCCUGGGGCUGAAGUAGGUCCCAAGGGUAUGGCUGUUCGCCAUUUAAAGUGGUACGCGAGCUGGGUUUAGAACGUCGUGAGACAGUUCGGUCCCUAUCUGCCGUGGGCGCUGGAGAACUGAGGGGGGCUGCUCCUAGUACGAGAGGACCGGAGUGGACGCAUCACUGGUGUUCGGGUUGUCAUGCCAAUGGCACUGCCCGGUAGCUAAAUGCGGAAGAGAUAAGUGCUGAAAGCAUCUAAGCACGAAACUUGCCCCGAGAUGAGUUCUCCCUGACUCCUUGAGAGUCCUGAAGGAACGUUGAAGACGACGACGUUGAUAGGCCGGGUGUGUAAGCGCAGCGAUGCGUUGAGCUAACCGGUACUAAUGAACCGUGAGGCUUAACCUU
This 2901-nucleotide ribosomal RNA is filed under the name Escherichia coli. RNAcentral describes it as "bacterial LSU rRNA". It matches the Rfam family "Bacterial large subunit ribosomal RNA". Lineage: Bacteria; Pseudomonadati; Pseudomonadota; Gammaproteobacteria; Enterobacterales; Enterobacteriaceae. The record is from RNAcentral.